This 1491-nucleotide ribosomal RNA is filed under the name metagenome. RNAcentral describes it as "bacterial SSU rRNA". It matches the Rfam family "Bacterial small subunit ribosomal RNA". The record is from RNAcentral.
AGAGUUUGAUCCUGGCUCAGAUUGAACGCUGGCGGCAUGCCUUACACAUGCAAGUCGAACGGCAGCACGAGAGCUUGCUCUUGGUGGCGAGUGGCGAACGGGUGAGUAAUAUAUCGGAACGUACCCUAGAGUGGGGGAUAACGUAGCGAAAGUUACGCUAAUACCGCAUACGAUCUACGGAUGAAAGUGGGGGAUCGCAAGACCUCAUGCUCAUGUAGCGGCCGAUAUCUGAUUAGCUAGUUGGUGGGGUAAAAGCUCACCAAGGCGACGAUCAGUAGCUGGUCUGAGAGGACGACCAGCCACACUGGAACUGAGACACGGUCCAGACUCCUACGGGAGGCAGCAGUGGGGAAUUUUGGACAAUGGGCGCAAGCCUGAUCCAGCAAUGCCGCGUGAGUGAAGAAGGCCUUCGGGUUGUAAAGCUCUUUUGUCAGGGAAGAAACGGUGGACUCUAAUACAGAUCACUAAUGACGGUACCUGAAGAAUAAGCACCGGCUAACUACGUGCCAGCAGCCGCGGUAAUACGUAGGGUGCAAGCGUUAAUCGGAAUUACUGGGCGUAAAGCGUGCGCAGGCGGUUGUGCAAGACAGAUGUGAAAUCCCCGGGCUCAACCUGGGAAUUGCAUUUGUGACUGCACGGCUAGAGUGUGUCAGAGGGGGGUAGAAUUCCACGUGUAGCAGUGAAAUGCGUAGAGAUGUGGAGGAAUACCGAUGGCGAAGGCAGCCCCCUGGGAUAACACUGACGCUCAUGCACGAAAGCGUGGGGAGCAAACAGGAUUAGAUACCCUGGUAGUCCACGCCCUAAACGAUGUCUACUAGUUGUCGGGUCUUAAUUGACUUGGUAACGCAGCUAACGCGUGAAGUAGACCGCCUGGGGAGUACGGUCGCAAGAUUAAAACUCAAAGGAAUUGACGGGGACCCGCACAAGCGGUGGAUGAUGUGGAUUAAUUCGAUGCAACGCGAAAAACCUUACCUACCCUUGACAUGUCUGGAAUCCUUGAGAGAUCAGGGAGUGCUCGAAAGAGAAUCAGAACACAGGUGCUGCAUGGCUGUCGUCAGCUCGUGUCGUGAGAUGUUGGGUUAAGUCCCGCAACGAGCGCAACCCUUGUCAUUAGUUGCUACGAAAGGGCACUCUAAUGAGACUGCCGGUGACAAACCGGAGGAAGGUGGGGAUGACGUCAAGUCCUCAUGGCCCUUAUGGGUAGGGCUUCACACGUCAUACAAUGGUACAUACAGAGGGCCGCCAACCCGCGAGGGGGAGCUAAUCCCAGAAAGUGUAUCGUAGUCCGGAUUGUAGUCUGCAACUCGACUACAUGAAGUUGGAAUCGCUAGUAAUCGCGGAUCAGCAUGUCGCGGUGAAUACGUUCCCGGGUCUUGUACACACCGCCCGUCACACCAUGGGAGCGGGUUUCACCAGAAGUGGGUAGCCUAACCGCAAGGAGGGCGCUCACCACGGUGGGAUUCGUGACUGGGGUGAAGUCGUAACAAGGUA